AACGCGAAGAACCUUACCUGGGCUCGAAAUGUAGUGGACUGGGGUAGAAAUAUCCCUUUCUCGCAAGAGACUGCUAUAUAGGUGCUGCAUGGCUGUCGUCAGCUCGUGUCGUGAGAUGUUGGGUUAAGUCCCGCAACGAGCGCAACCCUUAUCCCUAGUUGCCAUCGGGUCAAGCCGGGCACUCUAGUGAAACCGCCCCGGAUAACGGGGAGGAAGGUGGGGAUGACGUCAAGUCCUCAUGGCCUUUAUGUCCAGGGCUACACACGUGCUACAAUGGUCGGUACAAACCGUCGCAAACCCGCGAGGGGGAGCUAAUCGGAAAAAGCCGACCUCAGUUCGGAUUGGAGUCUGCAACUCGACUCCAUGAAGCUGGAAUCGCUAGUAAUGCUAUAUCAGAACGAUAGCGUGAAUACGUUCCCGGGCCUUGUACACACCGCGCAUA
RNAcentral lists this ribosomal RNA (442 nucleotides) under uncultured bacterium. RNAcentral describes it as "bacterial SSU rRNA". It matches the Rfam family "Bacterial small subunit ribosomal RNA", at positions 958 to 1398 of the family's 1533-position model. The record is from RNAcentral.